Trichonephila clavata is the source of this 73-nucleotide non-coding RNA. The record is from the annotation of a GenBank genome assembly. NCBI's taxonomy places the organism in Eukaryota, Metazoa, Arthropoda, Arachnida, Araneae, Nephilidae.
UUUCCUGUAGCGCAAUGAAUAGCGCUUUGAACUUCUAAUCCAAACGUCGUGGGUUCGAGCCCCACCUGGGAUG